UGAGGAAUAUUGGACAAUGGGCGCAAGCCUGAUCCAGCAAUGCCGCGUGCAGGAUGAAGGCCUUCGGGUUGUAAACUGCUUUUGUACGGAGCGAAAAGGUCUGCCCUAAUACGGUGGGCUCAUGACGGUACCGUAAGAAUAAGCACCGGCUAACUACGUGCCAGCAGCCGCGGUAAUACGUAGGGUGCGAGCGUUAAUCGGAAUUACUGGGCGUAAAGCGUGCGCAGGCGGUUAUAUAAGACAGAUGUGAAAUCCCCGGGCUCAACCUGGGACCUGCAUUUGUGACUGUAUAGCUAGAGUACGGUAGAGGGGGAUGGAAUUCCGCGUGUAGCAGUGAUAUGCGUAGAUAUGCGGAGGAACACCGAUGGCGAAGGCAAUCCCCUGGACCUGUACUGACGCUCAUGCACGUAAGCGUGGGGAGCAAACA
Molecule: ribosomal RNA, 427 nt
Filed under: uncultured bacterium
Lineage: Bacteria
Description: bacterial SSU rRNA
Rfam family: Bacterial small subunit ribosomal RNA
Source: RNAcentral